Molecule: ribosomal RNA, 254 nt
Filed under: uncultured bacterium
Lineage: Bacteria
Description: partial 16S ribosomal RNA
Rfam family: Bacterial small subunit ribosomal RNA
Source: RNAcentral
UACGGAGGGUGCGAGCGUUGUUCGGAAUCACUGGGCGUAAAGGGCGCGUAGGCGGCCACCGCAAGUCGACUGUGAAAUCUCCGGGCUUAACCCGGAAAGGUCAGCCGAUACUGCGGGGCUAGAGUGCAGAAGGGGCAACUGGAAUUCUCGGUGUAGCGGUGAAAUGCGUAGAUAUCGAGAGGAACACCUGCGGCGAAGGCGGGUUGCUGGGCUGACACUGACGCUGAGGCGCGAAAGCUAGGGGAGCGAACGGG